RNAcentral lists this transfer RNA (85 nucleotides) under Streptomyces hoynatensis. RNAcentral's name for it is "tRNA-Tyr". It matches the Rfam family "tRNA". Rfam says of the family: Transfer RNA (tRNA) molecules are approximately 80 nucleotides in length. Their secondary structure includes four short double-helical elements and three loops (D, anti-codon, and T loops). The record is from RNAcentral. Lineage: Bacteria; Bacillati; Actinomycetota; Actinomycetes; Kitasatosporales; Streptomycetaceae. RNAcentral also lists the same sequence under 2 other names.
GGCGGUGUGCCCGAGUGGCCAAAGGGAGCAGACUGUAAAUCUGCCGGCUCAGCCUUCCCAGGUUCGAAUCCUGGCGCCGCCACCC